AUGAGAACAUCAGUGACCUGCACGUCAGAGAAAGUGUGGGAAAGAAAAGUAAAAUAUAUGAACAUCUCUUUGGUAGGUACAAGGACAGGAUCUGGACAGCUGUAUUCCUCAUUCCCCCUCUUACCAGCACGUAGCAGGAUCAAAUCCUCACAGUGCCCCUGCCAAGUGGGAGUGCUUUUGGUGCAGCUUGAAGGAAUGCGGUUUUCAGCACAGAAACCUCUGCUUCGUUUGACUGUUUGCCUCCUGCUUUGUAACAGCGGACUGCUCUCUCAGAUUCUUCAUGCAUUAAAAGUAGAAAAAGGAAGAAAAGACACUGGAAGAAAUAUUCUAUCUGCUAGAAGAAAAGGAGAAGUAGAAACCAGUUGCAAAAUAUCUGCCUUAAGCAAAUCUCUUCCCUGUACAUUACUGGAUUUAAAGGACCAGUCAAAAAGAUAUUUAUCAUGGGGAUAACAGAAGAAAUCUGCUGAGUGCCUCAAUCCACUAGCUUCUGCAGGCGUGCAAAUUGAGGUAAAACACAGCAAAUUAUUUCAGGAGAAGGUGUAGGAUGAGGCCUUAAUAUGACCUGGACAAUUUGAAAGUAAUUACUUUAAUCUCUUUUAAUUCUUUUUUUUUUUUUUUAAAUUGACUUUUUCCUAACCACCU
RNAcentral lists this long non-coding RNA (642 nucleotides) under Anser brachyrhynchus (Pink-footed goose). Its description in RNAcentral is "lncRNA (ENSABRG00000001936.1)". Lineage: Eukaryota; Metazoa; Chordata; Aves; Anseriformes; Anatidae. The record is from RNAcentral.